ACGGAAGGCAGCAGUCGGGAAUAUUGCGCAAUGGAGGAAACUCUGACGCAGUGACGCCGCGUAUAGGACGAAGGUCUUCGGAUUGUAAACUAUUGUCGUUAGGGAAGAGAAAGGACAGUACCUAAGGAGGAAGCUCCGGCUAACUACGUGCCAGCAGCCGCGGUAAUACGUAGGGAGCAAGCGUUAUCCGGAUUUAUUGGGUGUAAAGGGUGCGUAGACGGGAAGUUAAGUUAGUUGUGAAAUCCCUCGGCUCAACUGAGGAACUGCAACUAAAACUGGCUUUCUUGAGUGUUGGAGAGGAAAGCGGAAUUCCUAGUGUAGCGGUGAAAUGCGUAGAUAUUAGGAGGAACACCAGUGGCGAAGGCGGCUUUCUGGACAAUAACUGACGUUGAGGCACGAAAGUGUGGGGAGCAAACAGGAUUAGAUACCCUGGUA
This 435-nucleotide ribosomal RNA is filed under the name uncultured Oscillospiraceae bacterium. Its description in RNAcentral is "bacterial SSU rRNA". It matches the Rfam family "Bacterial small subunit ribosomal RNA", at positions 341 to 792 of the family's 1533-position model. The record is from RNAcentral. Lineage: Bacteria; Bacillati; Bacillota; Clostridia; Eubacteriales; Oscillospiraceae.